This 488-nucleotide long non-coding RNA is filed under the name Pogona vitticeps (central bearded dragon). Its description in RNAcentral is "lncRNA (ENSPVIG00000002673.1)". Lineage: Eukaryota; Metazoa; Chordata; Lepidosauria; Squamata; Agamidae. The record is from RNAcentral.
AUGGGGGGUCCCUUGUAUAAACACCAUCCCGGCUGGAGCGAGGACUCUCAAGACACCUUAAAGGAGUAUUUCACAUUGCCAAGCCUGAUCCAAGCUCCUGUCUUAAGCAAGACUCAUGGUUCCCUGAAUGCCUUAUUUUGGAAAAAAAAAUGGAGGAUACCUCCUGUCUUAAGCAAGGCUCAUGGUUCCCUGAAUGCCUUAUUUUGGGGGGAAAAUGGAGGAUACAUCACGGAACAACACAGGUGGGGGGCAAAUUGCGUAUUUGCACUAAACUUUGGAUCAGGGAUGUGGAACACAAUCUAUUAGAAACUAUUUAACCAAAUUCACGAUUAGCCCAUGCCAACAGAACCAUUGUUAGGGGAAGAAUAUUGAUUUAUUAUUUUUAUUUAUUUAAUUAAUUUAUAUGCCGCCCACUCUACCCAAAGGUCUCUGGGCGGCUUACAACAAUUAAAAUUCAAUACAAUAAAAUAUAAAAUGAUUAAAAUACA